CGGGGGUAGUCCAAAACAUGACUGUGGGAGAGUGGGAUGAGAGGAUUCACCAUGAGUACGAAGGUGAAAAACUAUGUGUGAUCGGUGUAAGAACCCACAAGACCUCUACUCAACAAGUUGCUGCUUUCGCGCUGGAUAAUGAUGAAGAGUCGUGGUUUCAGGCCUACUAUGAAAAAGUCCGGCCAUUGCUAACCAGAAGUGAC
Bufo bufo (common toad) is the source of this 203-nucleotide long non-coding RNA. RefSeq lists it as uncharacterized. The record is from RefSeq and is a predicted model, not a curated record. NCBI's taxonomy places the organism in Eukaryota, Metazoa, Chordata, Amphibia, Anura, Bufonidae. The transcript is spliced from 3 exons.